CUCUAAGGUAGACUGGCUCUGUCCAUGGAGGCUCCAUGCAGGACUCCUCAGAAACCAGGAAGAGCCCUGGGGCAGCUGCAUCGCGCCAAAGGGACCCAUCCGGCCCAGGAUCCUGCGCCCACAGUGGCACCCAGGCGCCCCAAGCAGGAGGAGAGCGCCUUUUGCCCUCUAAGGUAGACUGGCUCUGGCCCUGGAGGCUCCAUGCAGGACUCCUCAGAAACCAGGAAGAGCCCUGGGGCAGCUGCAUCGCGCCAAAGGGACCCAUCCGGCCCAGGAUCCUGCACCCACAGUGCCACCCAGGCGCCCCAAGCAGGAGGAGAGCGCCUUGUGCCCUCUAAGGUAGACUGGCUCUGUCCAUGGAGGCUCCAUGCAGGAAGAGCUCUGAGGCAGCUGCAUCACGCCAAAGGGACCCAUCCGGCCCAGGAUCCUGCGCCCACAGUGGCACCCAGGCAUCCCCAAGCAGGAGGAGAGCGCCUUGUGCCCUCUAAGGUAGACUGGCUCUGGCCCUGGAGGCUCCAUGCAGGACUCCUCAGAAACCAGGAAGAGCCCUGGGGCAGCUGCAUCGCGCCAAAGGGAC
This is a non-coding RNA of Podarcis lilfordi (Lilford's wall lizard), 577 nucleotides long. The record is from the annotation of a GenBank genome assembly. Lineage: Eukaryota; Metazoa; Chordata; Lepidosauria; Squamata; Lacertidae.